UUGCCGUGUGUCUUGUCAGAUAAACCCCCGCCUUCACGCACUUCGUUGCGGGAGGACAAGGAGACUGCUGGUCCUAGCCUAGUUCAGUACAGUAUAUGUUGUGAGCGUGCUUCAGAUCUCCGGAGAUAGCACGGUACACUGUGUCCAGCCCAGAGGUGAAAGCCAUCCAAAGCAGAGUAACUGUGCUUUGCGCCCAAGUUGAUACCUGUGGAGAGAAAAGGAGAGAGAGAGUGAGUAACACAAGGAGAAACAGAGGAAACCUGUACUUACAGUACGCUGUGUUCAGCCCAGAGGUGAGAGCCAUUCAAAGCAAACUAACUGUGCUAUUGUGCCUAAGUUGAUACCUGUGGAGAGAAAAGGAGAGAGAGUGGGUAACACGAGAACGAACUGUGUGAACCAGUACUUACCGUGAGCUGUAUUCAGCGAAGAGGAGGAAGAAGGAGGGCGCUACGGAUACCUAAGACUCAGGCCGGGGCCCGAGUCCCACGCCCCGGAUCCCCGUGGCCCCC
Molecule: long non-coding RNA, 509 nt
Organism: Cyprinus carpio carpio
Lineage: Eukaryota; Metazoa; Chordata; Actinopteri; Cypriniformes; Cyprinidae
Source: Ensembl